RNAcentral lists this ribosomal RNA (481 nucleotides) under uncultured bacterium. RNAcentral describes it as "bacterial SSU rRNA". It matches the Rfam family "Bacterial small subunit ribosomal RNA", at positions 43 to 570 of the family's 1533-position model. The record is from RNAcentral.
CAUGCCUAACACAUGCAAGUCGAACGAGACCUUCGGGUCUAGUGGCGCACGGGUGCGUAACGCGUGGGAACCUGCCUUUAGGUUCGGAAUAACUCUUCGAAAGGACUGCUAAUACCGGAUGAUGUCUUCGGACCAAAGAUUUAUCGCCUUUAGAUGGGCCCGCGUUGGAUUAGCUAGUUGGUAGGGUAAAGGCCUACCAAGGCGACGAUCCAUAGCUGGUCUGAGAGGAGGAUCAGCCACACUGGGACUGAGACACGGCCCAGACUCCUACGGGAGGCAGCGGUGGGGAAUAUUGGACAAUGGGCAAAAGCCUGAUCCAGCAAUGCCGCGUGAGUGAUGAAGGCCUUAGGGUUGUAAAGCUCUUUUACCAGGGAUGAUAAUGACAGUACCUGGAGAAUAAGCUCCGGCUAACUCCGUGCCAGCCGCCGCGGCAAUACGAAGGGAGCUAGCGUUGUUCGGAAUUACUGGGCGUAAAGUGCAC